This 84-nucleotide transfer RNA is filed under the name Thermus thermophilus. RNAcentral describes it as "tRNA-His". The record is from RNAcentral. Lineage: Bacteria; Thermotogati; Deinococcota; Deinococci; Thermales; Thermaceae.
GGAGGGGUUUGGAGGGCUGGGAUCCUGCCGCUUGUGCUGCGGCUGGCGGCGUGCGGGGGAGGCUCCGCCCUUCCCCCCUUCGCC